AAGAUUAAUAAAUAUAGACUUCUAAUCUAUUAAUAAUGAUUAUCAUUUAAUCUUU
This 55-nucleotide transfer RNA is filed under the name Ixodes scapularis (black-legged tick). Its description in RNAcentral is "tRNA-Ser". Lineage: Eukaryota; Metazoa; Arthropoda; Arachnida; Ixodida; Ixodidae. The record is from RNAcentral.